UCUAUCAGCCAGGCUAUCGCUUCCCGCCAUUGGCGGGGGGAGGAAAGUCCGGACAGCAAAGAGCAACACACCGGUUAAGCGCCGGCUGCCAGUAAAAGGGCAAGAGAUAGUGCCACAGAAAAUAACUGUCUCACCUUAGGGUGGGAUGAGGGUGAAAAUGUGAGGUAAGAGCUCACGGGUUUUUAUAGUAAUAUAAAAACCGGGUAAACCUUGUGUGCUGUAAUGCCAUGUACACCUGCGCCUGAAGGCGGCUCGUUUGAUUCUGAUAACAAUUGGAAGCGCAGGAGGGUAGGCAGCAAGACCUUGUCAGUAAUGGCAAGGCCAGAUAAAUGAUGGCCGUUCUGAUUAAAUUCAGGAUAACAGGAUCCGGCUUAUUGGCUGAUAGAUUUU
RNAcentral lists this RNase P RNA (390 nucleotides) under Ferruginibacter sp. Its description in RNAcentral is "RNase P RNA component class A". It matches the Rfam family "Bacterial RNase P class A". Rfam says of the family: Ribonuclease P (RNase P) is a ubiquitous endoribonuclease, found in archaea, bacteria and eukarya as well as chloroplasts and mitochondria. Its best characterised activity is the generation of mature 5'-ends of tRNAs by cleaving the 5'-leader elements of precursor-tRNAs. Lineage: Bacteria; Pseudomonadati; Bacteroidota; Chitinophagia; Chitinophagales; Chitinophagaceae. The record is from RNAcentral.